AGACAAACGUUCCCCUCUGCAGCCUCGCUAAUGGCUCAGCGUUGGGCCUUGGUUCAUCACAGAGCUCUGCGAUUCUGGUUUCUGGGGUUACUGACACUUCACUACCCCAGACACUGAGAGUAGUGUGAAUUUUGUUCCAGUAUGGCAGCUCUGGAGGAUGGCAACUAUCAUGAUGCCCACUGUGAAAAUAUCAAUUCUUACUUUAUUUACAGGAGACAGCUCUUUCUUAUCUAGCCUGUCUCAGAGGCUGCCUGUCACCUGCUAGGGUACACAAAGGAGAAAGAAGGAUGGCCCACGAGCCAGAGGACAGCAGGUUGCCAAGCCAAGCGUAGUGUCUUUUAUGUUCUUUGAUAACUGUUCGAGUUCCCGCUCCUAUUCCUUCCAUCUAUUAAUGAACAUCCUGGCCUUUAAUCAUCGCUAUCAUUUCAUAGAGACUUUUGCAUGAGUCUCCCCUCGCCUUUGCGUCUCGGAACAUCUGUUUCCCAGACCUUCUCUUGAGAAUGAGCGUAUACAUGGCAGCUUUCCCCUUCUGUGGGCCAUGGAGCUGCAUUUCUUAUGCACCUUCAAGCAUUAAAUAGAAAAUCAAGCUAAAUGUACCAUAUUUUGUUAUAAUUACAGUUUAGGGGGAAAAUCCUUGUUAAUUAGGUAUCCAAGAAAGUUAUGUGGCCCAUAUGUAAGGUGAAAUGUUUAGUUCACAGUCAUAAUGUUUGGUAAUAAAGGGAUAGUGGUGAGUGAAAAGAACAAAUGUAAAUUAUCAUCCUCCAAAUAAAUCCAAUAGCUUAGAUGAUUGGGCCACUCAUGGCAACCAUGUGCAACUGGUUCUGGUUGCCACUUUAAAGUGCCUGAUUUUAGUUUGCCUAAAAUUAUUCUUUUAAUAAACAAGUGUAAUUUAAGAGGUAACAUUCUGGUACCAUCUGAUAGGUACAGAUUUACUGUGCUUGCAGUGUGAUAGUAACAGUACUAUUCUGAUUAUUCAUCAUGGAGUCUUUGGCAUUGUGCUGGAUGAUGGUAGAAAUUAAGGAAUUUUUACUCAGGUAAGGUCUCUUCCUUUUAGUAAUUUAUUUUCCAUAGCUAUGUGCUCUGGCCUGAGUCACAUGCAGGACAACCCCAUCACUGACCUGGAAGCAUCCCCUGGUUAAUAACGAUGAUCAUGUACCUAGGGCUUCCUGUGAGCCAGGGUCACUUUGAAUUCUUAGUUCCUCCCUAUCUUACAGCCCAUGGGAGUGUACUACCUAAGAUAGUGUUUAUAUCGACAACUAGAAACCAUCAGUUAAGGAUGAUUGAUAUGCCUUGUCUCUGGUAGUAUGAGAAUCUAU
Molecule: long non-coding RNA, 1316 nt
Filed under: Mus pahari (shrew mouse)
Lineage: Eukaryota; Metazoa; Chordata; Mammalia; Rodentia; Muridae
Description: lncRNA (MGP_PahariEiJ_G0005027.1)
Source: RNAcentral